GUUACCUCACUCAGGAUGAUAUCCUCCAG
This 29-nucleotide non-coding RNA is filed under the name Mus musculus (house mouse). Lineage: Eukaryota; Metazoa; Chordata; Mammalia; Rodentia; Muridae. The record is from RNAcentral.